RNAcentral lists this long non-coding RNA (924 nucleotides) under Homo sapiens (human). RNAcentral's name for it is "HSALNT0319157". The record is from RNAcentral. Lineage: Eukaryota; Metazoa; Chordata; Mammalia; Primates; Hominidae.
AGUUGAGAACCGUUACUUGACUGGUACCUCCAGCCCACCAGCAGGCAAUGAUGGCAUCAGACUAGAGGAUCACCAGUAAAUCAUUGUAAACAUUCUUGAAUAUGAGUCAGUCUGGUAUGAACAUACCUCUAACAGCCUCGCAUACACACUUGCUGAUCUCCCCCUUACAAGCAACAGAAAACAGGUCUUGACCCAGAGCCUUCAACAAACAAGCGUGGAAAGAGAGAAAGUCCACUUUAAGCGAUGGAAAAUCAGCCCCAAUUCUGAAGGAACAACCAUGAACAGAUGAUUUAAGGAGAAUCAAUUCUUUGCUCUUUGCAGAAGGAGCCAACAGAGUGAGAUGAAGGGGACAACUUCAGAUACUCAGGCAGAAGCAUAAGUCCCCACCUGCUGACCUGCUGCCUGCUAUCUUAACACGAAUUCUUCAUCUGAAUGGAUGAGCUUUUCACAGAGUUCCAAACUAAGGAAUCCAGGAGUGGCCAAUCCAGAGAUUCAUUCCUUAUCUUUGACGAACAUCUGAACUCCUGGCUCAUCCUGUGGAAUUCAGGCCAUACAGGAGAUCAAGGUCAUUUGCUUUGGGUUAAAUGAAUGUUGCCAGGUGGAGGUUGCUAGAGGGAGAGUGCUAUGUGAAAGUGCUGUAUAAACUGCUUGCUUUUCACAAACAGUAGUGAUUCUUUAUCCUGUCCAGCCUGCCACAACUGGACCAUCCUGUAUGUAAGUCCCCUUAAUAAAUCCUGUGUCUCAUUCACUGGCUUCAAGUCUCUUCCUGGGCCUCUUGAACGUGGUGCCACCUGUAUUGAAGUCAACAGAAGUUCAGCACAACACAGGUCAAAAUGAAGAUUCUGACUCAGUAGGUCAGGAUGUUCUAACGAGCUCUAGCUGACAUGAUACGUCAGGGCUGCAGACUAGCUUUGAGCAACAAGG